AGCCCGGAGAUGGACACUGAGACAAGGGUCCAGGCCCUAAGGGGCGCAGCAACCGCGAAACCUCCACAAUGCACUCACGUGCGAUGGGGCUAUCUCGAGUGCCACCUGAUGAAGGUGGCUUUUCCUUGGUCUUCAAAGCCUUGGGAAUAAGAGAGGGGCAAGACUGGUGUCAGCCGCCGCGGUAACACCAGCCCCUCGAGUGGUGGGGAUGAUUAUUUGGCCUAAAGCGUCCGUAGCCGGCCGAGCAAGUCUUCCGUUAAAUCCAGCGUCUCAAGCGUUGGACCGCGGGAGAUACUACACGGCUAGAGAGUGGGAGAGGUCAGCGGUAUUCUGGGGGUAGGGGCGAAAUCCUUUGAUCCCCGGAGGACCACCAGUGGCGAAGGCUGCUGACUAGAACACGUCUGACGGUCAGGGACGACAGCUGGGGUAGCGAACCGGAUUAGAUACCCGGGUAGUCCCAGCCGUAAACGAUGCAUGCUAGGUGUUGGGUUGGCCACGAGCCACCCCAGUGCCGCAGGGAAGCCGUUAAGCAUGCCGCCUGGGAAGUACGAUCGCAAGAUUGAAACUUAAAGGAAUUGGCGGGGGAGCACAAUCG
RNAcentral lists this ribosomal RNA (595 nucleotides) under uncultured crenarchaeote. RNAcentral describes it as "bacterial SSU rRNA". It matches the Rfam family "Archaeal small subunit ribosomal RNA", at positions 287 to 884 of the family's 1478-position model. Lineage: Archaea; Thermoproteati; Thermoproteota. The record is from RNAcentral.